UGUUGAGAAGGCGGUAAUGAUUGAAAUUGACGAGGACGUUGUAGAAUUAUCACGUGAAUUCCUCAAAGAGUGGUCAGACUGUUCAGAUCUUGUUGGCAGUACCAACGACUGCUUUGAAGAUCCUAGGGCUGAAGUGCGGUA
Molecule: ribosomal RNA, 141 nt
Filed under: Skeletonema japonicum
Lineage: Eukaryota; Bacillariophyta; Thalassiosirophyceae; Thalassiosirales; Thalassiosiraceae
Description: partial Eukaryotic large subunit ribosomal RNA
Source: RNAcentral